GUGCUCACUUUGGCAUCACGUAUAUUAAAAUUGGAAUGACAAAGAGAAGAUUAGCAUAGCCCCCGAGCAAGGGCGGCACACAAAUUCAUGGGUGUUCCCUAUUUUU
This is a small nuclear RNA of Pteronotus mesoamericanus, 106 nucleotides long. The record is from RefSeq and is a predicted model, not a curated record. Lineage: Eukaryota; Metazoa; Chordata; Mammalia; Chiroptera; Mormoopidae.